UUCACCUCAUGUAUUGUAGUGCAAUCUAUUGUGGAAGUGCAACAUACAAAUGGUUUUUUUGUUACAUAACUGCACUCAAAACAAUGCAAAACUUUAGAGCCUACAAGUCUGCUAAGUCCUACUUCUCAUUCAGACAGCUGCUAAGACAAACAAGUUUGUUUACAUUUAUGGGAGAUAAUGCCCACUUCUUAUUUACAAUGUCACCAGAAAGUAAGAACAGGUGUUCGCAUGACACUUUUGUAGCCAGCAUUGCAAGGUACUUACAUGCCAGAUACGCUAAACAUUCGUAUGCCCCUUAAUGCUUUGGCCACCAUUCCAGAGCACAUGCUUUCAUGCUGAAGACACUCGUUAAAAAAAUUAAUUAAAUUUCUGACUGAAGUCCUUGCAGGAGAAUUGUAUGUCUCUGGCUCUAUUUUACCCACAUUCUGCCAUAUAUUUCAUGUCUCAGAUGAUGACUCAGUACAUGUUAUUCAUUUUAAGAAUACUUUUGUUCCUGAUUUGACAAAAUGCAAAGAAGGUACCAAUGUGAGUUUUCUAAAGAUAACUAUAGCUCUUGACCCAAGAUUUAUGAAUCUGAAGUGCCUUCCGAAAUCUGAGAUGGAUAAGGUAUGGUGCAUGCUUUCAGAAGUCUUAAAAGAGCAACACUCUUGAUGUGGAAACUACAGAACCCGAACCAAAAAAGAAAACCAUGAUUGUUUAUGAAAAGUACCUUCAGUAAAGCUGGAUACAGAAUUACCGUGAUUGUUUAUGACUCAGAUGGUGAAAAUAAAGAUGCAUUGGUCUGCUCUGCUUUGGAUUGUUAUCAAGCAGAACGUGUCAGCAGCAUGAACACGUCCUCUGGAAUGGUUGUUGAAGUAUGAAGGAACAUAUUAAUCUUUAGCGCAUCUGCCAUCUGGUGACACUGGCUACAAAAGUGCCAUGCAAAUACCUGUUCUCACUUUCAGGUGAUGUUAACUAGAAGCAGGCAGCAUUAUCUCCUGCAAAUGUAAACAAACUUGUUUGAGUGAUUGGCUGAACAAGAAAUAGUACUGAAUGGACUUGUAGUCUCUAAAGCUUUAUAUUGUUUUAUUUUUGAAUGCAGGGGGGUUUUGUACAUAAUUCUACAUUUGUAAGUUCAACUUUCAUGAUGAGGUUGCACUAUUGUACUUAGGUGAAUUGAAAACUGCUAUUUUGUUUUUUACAGUGCAAAUAUUUGUAGUAAUAAAUAUAAAGCGAGCACUGUACACUUUGUAUUCUGUUAUAAUUGAAAUCAAUAUGUUUGAAAAUGUAGAAAACAUCCAAAAUAUUUAAAUAAAUGGCAAAAUAUUGUUUCAGUGUGAUUAAUUGCGAUUAUUUUUUUAAUUGCUUGACAACCUUAGUUUAAACCUUUUUAACAAUGAAUUAAUGUAAUUUUAAGUGGUAUAUUUGCCCCUGUGUCCCAUUAACAAUUCCUGUGGUUAUUGUAAAUGUAGCAUUUUAAAAGGUUAAAAUCAGGUUUGUUUGCAUUGUGCUGCUUAAUUAGUUAAAGUGCUCCAAGUCAGCUUGAACCUAGUCUUCCCUUAGUAUUCCAUUCAGUUACUGUCUGCAUCAGUAACUUUAGUGGAGCAAAGUCUGUUUUGUAAACUUUCCUGAGGCAUGUUUAUGUAUUGUAAUAUUGUACAAUCAUAUUUGAGCAGUGACAUUAUACGGAAGAGUCCUGACUCAAGCAGGUGCAUCAACAGAGAUUGUGUGUCUUAGGAGGGCCAGAAGAAGGUUCUAGCUUAAUAUUUUAUUUGAAAUCCUUACUUUUUUUUAAGGUAUAGCAACUUUAUUAUCUCAGGCAUUUGGUGUUGAGAGAGUGGUGUAGGAGUCAAACUACCUGAUGUAUUACCUUUUGAUGUUACUUGGGCUAGAAAAGUACAGGGGUUAAUUACUUCUAGUCAACUGUUACUGCUCAUUGUUACUAUAUAUUUAACAAAAUUGUAUAGUCUAAGUAAUAAAAGGAAAGACCAGGCCAUAUACACUAGCUAUACGUAGCGUAUGGUAAGAGAAAUGCAUCCAUAUGCUUUAGGUAGCACUCAAAUAAUGAACUGCAGUUUGCCAAUGUAUUACAUUCCCUGUUGUUUUUUACUAUAUGCUCUAUGAGCAGAAUAGGAUUUCACAUUCACACACUAUCCAGUUCAUGUUGUCCAAUUCUGAUUUGGUUCUAUUCUGUGUCUUUACUGUUUUUUAGGUUAAUUUUACCAUAACAGCUAGUUCUCAUUUUACUGGAGCUGUUAUAAAUAUUAACUGGGAUACAUGCUAGAGAAUACAGAAAGAGCCUGAAAUAUUUGUAGAAAUGCCUCUCCCUCCCUUGAUAAAAGCCUGUUAUACUUUCCCUUCCAGCAAAGGAGAGUUGGAGCAGGCUUUCAGUAGAACCAGUCACAGAUGCUCUGAGUGCAGAAGGGACUUUUUUCAAUGUAGUGUCUGUCUACUCAAAUGAUAAGCCAGGUGUAUAAUGUUCUUAGGCCUUCUGAGGACAACUGAUAUUUCUUGAUGGUCAGAGUUGCUAUAUUUCUGUAAAAAGUAAUGAGGGUAAAACUCCGAAGCCCAAGUAUGGCUCCUUAAACAACAUUUACACCCUUGACAGCGUACUAUAUAGCCUUUUUCAAUAUAAAAAGUAUGUAAACAGGUAUAUUUCUGCUAUGUCUACCUUAUCUUGUGGAAUGUUUCCUCUAGACCAGGGGUUCCCAAACUGUGAAAGAAAAAAUGGGUAUGUGGAAGAAAUUGUGUAAUGGUAGAUUUUAUUUAUUUUAUUGCAUUUUCUUAAUAGGCUUUAAAACUCUAGGAAUUUGUUUUGUAAAAUAUGGUAGUUUAUUUAAGAUGUGCCAGUGAGAAUACAAAUACACGGACACUGAUGUACCAAGCCCUCAACUCCAAUCACCAGCUCAGUUGCCCAGCAACUGUCCAAUCUAAUUGAGCUCAGAACUUAGGAGGAUUUUUUUGGUGGUAUAUGUUACACUAUAACUGUAUCUGUACAUAACAGUAAAAUAUGGAUGGGUGGCUAAAUACAGGUACUGUUAAGCACACAAAGUAUCAGUGAUGAGAAGGGUUGGAGUACGCAGCAGCUGGUAGAUUGGAAGGGGGUACAUAGUAAGAAAAGUUUGGGAACCUCUGCUCUAGACAAGCAGGAAAGUGAUUUAUCUAAUCCCUUUUAAUUGGUGGGCUAAUAUAAACGUUUAAUUUUGGUAACUUAAAUAUUAAUACAUUGCAAAUUCAACUGUGGUUGCAGACUCCAUGGGUAUGUGUAUAUAGCGGAAAAAAAAAUAAAGCCCAUGGCGGCGACUCAGAGCCCUUACCCCUCUCCCUGGCCUUCAGCCCCAGCUUGAAUGUUUACACAAGCUAUUUGUAGCACCCUAGCGUGAACCCAGGUUUGUAGGCUGGGGCUGUGAGACUUCCUGCUGAGCAGUUUUCGAGUUUUUCUGCUAUGUAGACAUGCCCAAUUGGGUCCCAGCUGCACUGCAAGACAAUGUCGCUUUACUAUAUCUGUGUCAGGCCAAAUGCAUAACUAGGUCCCCUUAGCAUGACUGGAUUUGGAAGGGACCAGAUACUCAAAUGGAUGCCAGCUGCAAAGCUCUUAUUUUUGUGUUCCCCUUCAUUGCAGGUUAGACACUGCUUGCAGUUCAUUCCUUGUACUUUGUCACUGCCUACACUGGAAGGAGGUUAGGAGUCUUCUCUGCCCUGUCGUCCUUCUUACUGAGUGCUAGAAUUGAGAUAGCUGGGAGAUUUGAACAUCUGCGCUCUGGCUACUCGGGCAUUCUUAGUGGAAGAUCCUUGAUAUUGGAAUUCCUUUCUCCAUUACAGUUGAGUCUUGUUGUAAAGCUCCUAUAUUCACACAGGGGAAUUGGACUGCAUACAGCAGGGGUGCGGAAACUACGGCCUGUGGACCGCUUCAGGCCUGUCAGACAUUUUUAUCCAGACCUCGAGCUCCCACUGGGGAGUGAAGUCGGGGGCUUGCCCCACUCCACCUGUCCGUCGCUCCUCAGCCCCCGACUCCCAUUUCCCUUGAUGAGCAGCAUCUUCUGGCACAUAGAUCCACGCUGCACAGGCACGACUUCAUCGUACUGUUUCCGGGAUCAGAACCCCCAUGCAGCAGCAUGCCCAAUGCCCUCCCGGUCUCCUACAGCCCCACCCCCGAGAGCCUCAAAACUGCCCAGGGGUCACACCCAUCCCAGCUAGGGUGCCUCUGCCCAUGGCAGUGCCUGGUACAGCCGCCUUGGUGUCACUGCCACAGGCCCCUAGAAGUCCCCUGUAGAGCCCCCCACCACCACACUCCAUGAGUUCCCCCCUUUCACCCACCUCGGUAACAUCUCUUAUAGAGCCCCCCCGUGCUACACCCCAUAGAGUCUCCCCCCCACCUCCACUGGGCAUUCAUAGCCUACUAUACAAUUUCCAUACCCAGAUGCAGCCCUCAGGCCAAAAAGUUUGCCCAUUCCUGGCAUAAAGGAUAUUAACCUAUUUGGGGAUGGAAAUCUGUUUACUAUGAUAUUAUCAUGUGUUUUUUAUUAAAAGUCUGUGUGCUUAGAGGUUGUCCAGUUAAUCAGUUUUGUACAUUGAAUAAUAAAAGUUCAGAAGUUCCCACAAUGA
Long non-coding RNA from Gopherus flavomarginatus (Mexican gopher tortoise), 4584 nucleotides. RefSeq lists it as uncharacterized. The record is from RefSeq and is a predicted model, not a curated record. Lineage: Eukaryota; Metazoa; Chordata; Testudines; Testudinidae. The transcript has 2 exons.